Molecule: transfer RNA, 71 nt
Filed under: Onthophagus baolocensis
Lineage: Eukaryota; Metazoa; Arthropoda; Insecta; Coleoptera; Scarabaeidae
Description: tRNA-Ser
Source: RNAcentral
AAGAUAGGAUAAAUAUUCAAGAAUAAGCUUCUAACUUAAUUCUUUAGCAAUGAAAUUUUGUUAAUAUCUUU